Ipomoea nil (Japanese morning glory) is the source of this 130-nucleotide long non-coding RNA. RefSeq lists it as uncharacterized. The record is from RefSeq and is a predicted model, not a curated record. Lineage: Eukaryota; Viridiplantae; Streptophyta; Magnoliopsida; Solanales; Convolvulaceae. The transcript is spliced from 3 exons.
AUCCAUUUUCGAGGGAGUUGUGAAUUUACAUAGACCAACCAAGAUGUUGCCCAAAUCUUGCACCUCCAAAUUCCCUCCUGCAAUGUGCUUUUUCGCACAAAAUGUACAAGAAUAUAUUAAAAUCCCCAUU